This is a long non-coding RNA of Asterias rubens (European starfish), 772 nucleotides long. RefSeq lists it as uncharacterized. NCBI's taxonomy places the organism in Eukaryota, Metazoa, Echinodermata, Asteroidea, Forcipulatida, Asteriidae. The record is from RefSeq and is a predicted model, not a curated record. The transcript has 3 exons.
GUGAUCACCAUUUGGUACAAAAACCGAGGCGCCAAAAUACCGUGAACAUGCCAUUUAUCGUGUAAUGCCAUUACACGAUACGUUCAGAGAUAUACAUGUCCAAAAGGUUUGUCUGUAGUUCUGACGAUAAGGCCAAUACCUGGAAAUUAUUCAAUAUGCCUUGCUCAAAAAGGGAGCCCCAGGGCAAGAGAGUCUACCGAAAGCCUUCCAGUAGCCAAAGUACGGCGUCUUUCAAACGAGAAGUAUCCGAACGGGCUGCCGUGAUGGUACUUCGUGAAUUGCAAAAGCAAAUAUCAACCCAAAAGGCAACUGGCUCUGGUACCAAGAAGACUAGAAAGACCAAGGCCAAGAAGUGAUUUCCGAGAAGAAAAAAGAACGAUCUGUAAAGGUUCCACGUCAAUGAACUUCACCGUUUACAGAUCUGAGCGUCUUAUUCCUUGACAAAGAUGCCACACAGAAGGAACGUUAAUCCACAUGAAAAAGCUUUAGCUCGUAGUUACUUUAAAUUAAUGUUAUAAUUUUUAAAGCUAGUAAAGAAUUCAAAAGCUUUAGCUCGUAGUUAGUUUAAAUUAAUUUUAUAUCUUUUAAAGCUCGUAAAGAAUAAGUUAAUUAAUAAAUGAAGUGAUCAAUCGUCAAGAUCUUUAACUUAGAUUAAUCUUAGAUCUUUUUAAGGGUAUUGGUACUUGUUGAAGGGCACAAAACGCAAUGUCCACAGAUUUACAUCAAACUCACAUAGUUUCAAGAUAAUGAUAGUAGAAAGCUUCCCUUCAAA